This 352-nucleotide ribosomal RNA is filed under the name uncultured fungus. RNAcentral describes it as "bacterial SSU rRNA". It matches the Rfam family "Eukaryotic small subunit ribosomal RNA", at positions 20 to 370 of the family's 1831-position model. The record is from RNAcentral. Lineage: Eukaryota; Fungi.
GUAGUCAUAUGCUUGUCUCAAAGAUUAAGUCAUGCAUGUCUAAGUAUAAGCAAUUAUACCGUGAAACUGCGAAAGGCUCAUUAAAUCAGCUAUGGUUUCUUAGAUCAUUGAACAUUACAUGGAUAACUGUGGUAAUUCUAGAGCUAAUACAUGAAACAAAGCCUUGACCUUACGGGAAAGGCGCAUUUAUUAGAUCAAAACCAACCGGGCUUGCUCGUUGUUUUGGUGACUCUGGAUAACUUUGUGCAGAUCGCAUGACCUUGCGUCGGCGACGUAUCUUUCAAAUGUCUGACCUAUCAACUGUCGAUGGUAGGUGACAUGCCUACCAUGGUGACAACGGGUAACGGGGAAU